This is a non-coding RNA of Nicotiana tabacum (common tobacco), 1043 nucleotides long. The record is from RefSeq and is a predicted model, not a curated record. Lineage: Eukaryota; Viridiplantae; Streptophyta; Magnoliopsida; Solanales; Solanaceae.
GUGAAGAAGGGAAGUUCUAUAUAUUUAUGUGAUAUUUCAUGAGAACACUUACUAUUAUCUUUCAAUUUCUGUAAAUAAUAUAUUGUUUCAUAUGAUUUGCUCAUUUCUUCACGGUUUUCCUCAUGAUGACUGCUGGUCAUUGACUCUCUCUAUCUCUUGCUCUCUAAUUCGUUAAUUACCUGUUGUAGUGGCUUUGGUGAAUAAUGGUAGAUUAAGGUCAUGUCCUCGGUCGGGGCUGGGGCACAUCUUCAGCUUAGCAAAGACAUGACCCUUGAUAGUGGGGUGGAGGUCGACGAUUAGGGUAUAGGUUAGUUAGUAGUCGAGUUUAUUUCCUUUCCACACCUGUACUUCCUCCCUAGUUCUAGUACUAGUGUUCUCUUUGCUUCGUUUUAUUUUCUGGUUGUUGUUACUAUUUCGUUUGCCGCAGUUCUCUGUCGUAACUGCUGUGAUUUUGUUGUAUUGAGCCGAGGAUGUUUCGGAAACAGUCUCUUUACCUUCACAAGGUAGGAGUAAGGACUGUAUAUAUACUAUCCUUCCCAGAUCCCACUUAUGGGAGUAUACUGGUCAUGAUCUUACAGAGUAUCUUGCUUCGUCCUCAGUAACAAAAGCAAUUGCUACGAGAGACAGCUCGAAUCAUGGCAUUAGAGGCUUAGAAAGGAAACUAGUUUCUCAUCCAAAUGAUCUGACUUGCUGGAGACCAUGUGCUUGUGACUCUGAGUGUUCUGAUGGUUGGAUUUGUACAUUGUGCGAAUGGGAUAUUCUUUUUCGCCAGAAGACGUGUUCUGCUAGCUCCUUCACAUUCUCGAUAGCAGGUCGAAUGUGGCUUUGAUUAUAUUUCUUUUACUUGUUCUCGUCGUCCCCCACUUGUGGGAUUAUACUGGGUUGUUGUUUUUGCCUGUUUGAACAAAUUAAUAUUGGGUUCAUCUCCAAAGUCUUGCAUUGAUAAUGGCCUGAUCCUUGUCACUAAAUGUGUACUAGUACUACUAUAUCUUUGCUCUACGAUUCUAUAUUAUCGAGCUUGUUUGCUCUUUUACUUUCAAGCA